CGAUGAAGAGCGCAGCCAGCUGCGUUAAUUAAUGUGAAUUGCAGGACACAUUGAACAUCGAGAUCUUGAACGCAUAUGGCGGCCUCAGGCACUCCUGAGGCCACGCCCGUCUCAGGGUCGGUU
This 123-nucleotide ribosomal RNA is filed under the name Eisenia nordenskioldi aff. nordenskioldi 1 SVS-2012. RNAcentral describes it as "partial 5.8S ribosomal RNA". It matches the Rfam family "5.8S ribosomal RNA", at positions 34 to 154 of the family's 154-position model. From Rfam's summary of the family: 5.8S ribosomal RNA (5.8S rRNA) is a component of the large subunit of the eukaryotic ribosome. It is transcribed by RNA polymerase I as part of the 45S precursor that also contains 18S and 28S rRNA. The record is from RNAcentral. Lineage: Eukaryota; Metazoa; Annelida; Clitellata; Crassiclitellata; Lumbricidae.